UACGGAGGGUGCAAACGUUGCUCGGAAUUAUUGGGCGUAAAGCGCACGUAGGCGGUUCGUUAUGUCGGAUGUGAAAGCCCUCGGCUUAACCGAGGAAGUGCAUCCGAAACUGGCGGGCUUGAGUACGGAAGAGGGUCUCGGAAUUCCCGGUGUAGAGGUGAAAUUCGUAGAUAUCGGGAGGAACACCAGUGGCGAAGGCGGAGACCUGGGCCGAUACUGACGCUGAGGUGCGAAAGCGUGGGAAGCAAACAGG
This 253-nucleotide ribosomal RNA is filed under the name uncultured bacterium. RNAcentral's name for it is "partial 16S ribosomal RNA". It matches the Rfam family "Bacterial small subunit ribosomal RNA", at positions 524 to 776 of the family's 1533-position model. The record is from RNAcentral.